Molecule: ribosomal RNA, 253 nt
Filed under: uncultured bacterium
Lineage: Bacteria
Description: partial 16S ribosomal RNA
Rfam family: Bacterial small subunit ribosomal RNA
Source: RNAcentral
UACGGAGGGGGCUAGCGUUGUUCGGAAUUACUGGGCGUAAAGCGCACGUAGGCGGCUACUCAAGUCAGAGGUGAAAGCCUGGAGCUCAACUCCAGAACUGCCUUUGAAACUAGGUAGCUUGAAUCGCGGAGAGGUGAGUGGAAUUCCGAGUGUAGAGGUGAAAUUCGUAGAUAUUCGGAAGAACACCAGUGGCGAAGGCGGCUCACUGGACGCGUAUUGACGCUGAGGUGCGAAAGCGUGGGGAGCAAACAGG